GUCGAGAAUCUUUCACAAUGGGGGCAACCCUGAUGGAGCGACGCCGCGUGGAGGAUAAGGUCUUCGGAUUGUAAACUCCUGUCAUGCGUGAACAAGGUUGCUUGGUUAAUACCUGGGCAAAUUGAUGGUAACGCAAGAGGAAGAGACGGCUAACUCUGUGCCAGCAGCCGCGGUAAUACAGAGGUCUCAAGCGUUGUUCGGAAUCACUGGGCGUAAAGGGUGCGUAGGUGGCGUGGCAAGUCAGAUGUGAAAGCCCGGGGCUCAACCGCGGAACUGCAUCCGAUACUGCCAUGCUAGAGUACUGGAGGGGUGACUAGAAUUCUCGGUGUAGCAGUGAAAUGCGUAGAUAUCGAGAGGAAUACCAAAGGCGUAGGCAGGUCACUGGACAGUUACUGACACUGAGGCACGAAGGCCAGGGGAGCGAACGGGAUUAGAUACCCCGGUAGUCC
Molecule: ribosomal RNA, 449 nt
Filed under: uncultured bacterium
Lineage: Bacteria
Description: partial 16S ribosomal RNA
Rfam family: Bacterial small subunit ribosomal RNA
Source: RNAcentral